GACCGAGGGUGCAAGCGUUGUUCGGAAUUACUGGGCGUAAAGCGCGUGUAGGCGGCUAAGUAAGUCGGGCGUGAAAUCCCACGGCUCAACCGUGGAAGUGCACUCGAAACUGCAUAGCUAGAGUCCUGGAGAGGAAGGUGGAAUGCUUGGUGUAGAGGUGAAAUUCGUAGAUAUCAAGCGGAACACCGGUGGCGAAGGCGGCCUUCUGGACAGUGACUGACGCUGAGACGCGAAAGCGUGGGGAGCAAACAGG
This 253-nucleotide ribosomal RNA is filed under the name uncultured bacterium. RNAcentral's name for it is "partial 16S ribosomal RNA". It matches the Rfam family "Bacterial small subunit ribosomal RNA", at positions 524 to 776 of the family's 1533-position model. The record is from RNAcentral.